CCUUGCUAAACAGGACCCAUGGGGGAGACGUUUGAAGAAGCCAUCAGGGUUUUGGCUAGAAGGCAGGGGUCCUCAAAGCUGUGAAAGUCUGUUCUAUCAGAGGUGGCUGCCAAGCUGUGCUUUCUUCUGCAGAUGGCAAAAGAAAAAGAUGUGAAACAAGACAUAUUUAAAUGGAAGAGAGAGGAAUGGGAGAGGAAGGCAAGAAUAUAAAUAUUUAAGAAAGCUUUAUUUUCCUGAAGCAAAGAAUGACACUUGAAACCGAGGGAAUCUCAAUGUCCACCUUGCAUUUCCAUGACCAGCAAGAGAGGGGAACCCCUACAGGUGAU
This 326-nucleotide long non-coding RNA is filed under the name Pongo abelii (Sumatran orangutan). Its description in RNAcentral is "lincRNA". The record is from RNAcentral. Lineage: Eukaryota; Metazoa; Chordata; Mammalia; Primates; Hominidae.